AUUGAACGCUGGCGGCAGGCCUAACACAUGCAAGUCGAGCGGAUGAAGGGAGCUUGCUCCUGGAUUCAGCGGCGGACGGGUGAGUAAUGCCUAGGAAUCUGCCUGGUAGUGGGGGAUAACGUCCGGAAACGGGCGCUAAUACCGCAUACGUCCUGAGGGAGAAAGUGGGGGAUCUUCGGACCUCACCCUAUCAGAUGAGCCUAGGUCGGAUUAGCUAGUUGGUGGGGUAAAGGCCUACCAAGGCGACGAUCCGUAACUGGUCUGAGAGGAUGAUCAGUCACACUGGAACUGGGACACGGUCCAGACUACUAAGGGAGGCAGCAGUGGGGAAUAUUGGACAAUGGGCGAAAGCCUGAUCCAGCCAUGCCGCGUGUGUGAAGAAGGUCUUCGGAUUGUAAAGCACGUUAAGUUGGGAGGAAGGGCAGUAAGUUAAUACCUUGCUGUUUUGACGUUACCAACAGAAUAAGCACCGGCUAACUUCGUG
RNAcentral lists this ribosomal RNA (484 nucleotides) under uncultured bacterium. RNAcentral describes it as "partial 16S ribosomal RNA". It matches the Rfam family "Bacterial small subunit ribosomal RNA", at positions 30 to 507 of the family's 1533-position model. The record is from RNAcentral.